ACGUUAGGAAAUGAACGUACCUUGACGGUACCUUAUUAAAAAGCCACGGCUAACUACGUGCCAGCAGCCGCGGUAAUACGUAGGUGGCAAGCGUUGUCCGGAUUUAUUGGGCGUAAAGCGCGCGCAGGCGGUUUCUUAAGUCUGAUGUGAAAGCCCACGGCUUAACCGGGGAGGGUCAUUGGAAACUGGGAGACUUGAGUGCAGAAGAGGA
Molecule: ribosomal RNA, 211 nt
Filed under: Caryophanales bacterium
Lineage: Bacteria; Bacillati; Bacillota; Bacilli; Caryophanales
Description: Bacillales bacterium partial 16S ribosomal RNA
Rfam family: Bacterial small subunit ribosomal RNA
Source: RNAcentral